RNAcentral lists this ribosomal RNA (903 nucleotides) under Triticum aestivum (bread wheat). Its description in RNAcentral is "partial small subunit ribosomal RNA". The record is from RNAcentral. Lineage: Eukaryota; Viridiplantae; Streptophyta; Magnoliopsida; Poales; Poaceae.
AUGGCCGGCGCCGGGAGGAAGGUGGCGGUCGCCGCCGUGCAGUUCGCCUGCACCGACACGGUGGCCGACAACGUCGCCGCCGCCGAGAGGUUGAUUAGAGAAGCUCAUAAGAAAGGCGCAAACAUUGUCCUCAUUCAGGAGCUAUUUGAGGGGCACUAUUUCUGUCAAGCUCAAAGGAUGGAUUUCUUUGGGCGUGCCAAGCCUUAUAAAGAGAACCCGACUAUAAUGAGAAUGCAAAAACUUGCAAAGGAGUUGGAUGUUGUAAUACCUGUAAGUUUCUUUGAAGAAGCGGGCAAUGCUCAUUACAAUUCCGUGGCCAUUAUUGAUGCUGAUGGCACCGAUCUUGGCCUAUACCGCAAAUCACACAUUCCAGAUGGACCAGGUUAUCAAGAGAAAUUUUAUUUCAACCCGGGUGACACUGGAUUCAAGGCUUUCAAAACCAAGUAUGCAACAAUUGGUGUUGGAAUUUGCUGGGAUCAGUGGUUUCCAGAGACCGCAAGGGCUAUGGUGCUACAGGGGGCGGAAAUAUUGUUCUAUCCCACUGCUAUUGGUUCUGAACCCCAGGAUAUGAACCUGGAUUCCCGUGAACACUGGAAGCGUGUCAUGCAAGGCCACGCCGGCGCUAACUUGGUUCCUCUUGUUGCUUCUAACCGGAUAGGUAAGGAAACUGUUGAGACUGAGCAUGGCAACAGCACCAUAAAGUUCUAUGGGAACUCAUUCAUCGCAGGGCCAACUGGAGAAAUCGUGAAGCUUGCAAAUGACAAAGACGAGGAGGUGCUCGUCGCGGAGUUUGACUUGGACGAGAUCAAAUCUACGAGGCACGGCUGGGGUAUAUUCAGGGACAGGCGUCCUGAUCUAUACAAAGUGCUACUGACGUUGGAUGGCAAGACAUCAUCAUCCUAG